This is a long non-coding RNA of Calliphora vicina (urban bluebottle blowfly), 1055 nucleotides long. RefSeq lists it as uncharacterized. The record is from RefSeq and is a predicted model, not a curated record. The transcript is spliced from 2 exons. Lineage: Eukaryota; Metazoa; Arthropoda; Insecta; Diptera; Calliphoridae.
CCCACAUUUUACUACUAUAAAUGAUCGAGAAUAUUUCUUUGAGCUUUCAGUAUAAUUUUACAAAUUAUUAGAAACAUACAUAUAAAUUCUCGGAUUAUUUGUUUAUUAAAAGCAAGCACAAUGGAUAACAAAGUUGUAAUAAAGGAAAAUGCCACUAAUAUCGCCAAUAAAUUGCUCAAUGAAUAUCCAAACCUGAAAAUAUUUUUGGAACUUUUAGUAAAAAACAUUGUUGUUGAAACCAAAGUAGUUGGCAGAAAAUUUCAAUAUCCCAGUGGUAUAAUAAAAAAUAAUCUUUCUAGAAAUUAUGGCUUAUUUAUGGAUUAUUUUAUACGUAAACUGCUGUCCAAUCAAUUUCAAACUAAACUAACAGAUGAAGUCACCGAGCUGGUUCUAAAAGAUUCGGAUACUUAUUUUAAAGACAAUGAAAAAGAUCGCACCUUGCAAAACGAUAUCCAACAGCAUUAUUUAAUUUACAAAGAUUCUCAAAAACGAGCAAUGGAUAUUUUAAAAAGCAUUAAAAUAGUUUCUUUAUCGGUUUCAUUGUCAUUUCACGAUCCACUGCCAGAAGCUGAAAUCGAGACCGACAACAUUGCUCUACUCGAGGUUAUAAAAUACUUUCAAAAACUUCGUUACUCAGGAGUCGAAAUGAAAGCAGCAACUGAUUGUGAAUAUUUUGAGGGCAAUGCUGAUCUGAUCUUUGAUCAAAAAGUGCUGUAUGAAAUAAAAACUUCUAAAUUUAAGUCACUUGCGCGUAAUGAUAAACUGAUCCAUGUGAGACAUUUCUACAAACUGAUUUUGUAUGGAUUUGGUUAUUAUAAGAAAACGGGUAAAAUAAUAAAAUGUUUUAAGAUUUACAAUCCUUUAUUGGGUUAUGAGUAUACACUACAGCUCGACGAUAUUGAUAUGGAACUUUUUGAGAAAGCACUCAAAAAAGAUGUAGGAAAAAAUAUAAAAACUAAAUGAAAAGAUUUUUUAUUAUUUUACAAGACCAACAUUCAUAUUAUUUAAUUUUAACAUCUAUUACUUAUUGAAAUAAAUUUUUUAAAAUACAAAAA